RNAcentral lists this long non-coding RNA (2619 nucleotides) under Octopus sinensis (East Asian common octopus). Its description in RNAcentral is "uncharacterized LOC118763416". The record is from RNAcentral. Lineage: Eukaryota; Metazoa; Mollusca; Cephalopoda; Octopoda; Octopodidae.
UAUGUUCCUUGUAUACAUAUACUUACAUACACACAAGACACAUCCUCAUACAUACAUGUAUAUGUAUGUGUGUGCAUGCGUGUGUAUAUACACUUAUACAUGCAUGUGUGUAUGUGUAUGUGUUAAACAGUGCAUUCAACCCAAAUGUUAGAAAUCCUGUAAUCUUUUAUCAUAUUUUUUUCUCUUUUUACAAUAACAAUGUCCCCACCACAAAUUUCACAAUUGUUAUUCAAUAAACGUAGCCUUUUUAUAUAACAACUUUAACGUCCUACCGAUGUCCUAACAUGGGAUAAUCUCCUUUUUUAAUCAGUAUUUUGUAAUGAAUUUUGAAAAGAAGAAACCCACAAAAGUAAUUGCAAAAAUAGCCCAUUCAGUCCAGUACGUAUUAUCUUUUUCAUUAUUGAAGUGAAACUACGUAUCCAUUCUUCAGUGCCAUUUUUCACAAAACCUUUUUGGAAAGUAAUUAUUAUUGAUAAUGAUAAUAAUUGAAUUACAAACAACAGCAAAACAAACAACAGAGCAGAUGUUUGAUUUAAUUUUGUAACUACAUUCCAUGGCCUUAUUAUAUAUAUAUAUAUGUGUGUGUAUGUAUAUGAUUGUUAUUUAGGGAGUGAUCUCUAUAGUACCAAGUUCGUAGUUUAUUAUCCGGAAUCGAUUUUUUUGUAGUUCCGAAUAAACGAUGAUCAAUGAGUUAACUAUGAUAAUAAAAAUGAUGAUGAUAAUGAUUAUAAUGGUGAUAAUAUUUAUGACAACUGUAAUGAUAUUUCGAUAUGAUAUUGAUGAUGGUAACUAUGAUGUUGCUAAUGACUUUUACUCUUUCAAUGUUAUAUUCCAUUUUUUUAUCACACACUUUAGAUUUUGAAUACAAAUCAAAAACAAAAAAAUCAAAUUACACAAAUGAAAAUGGUUUAAACUUCGUAAUUAUUUGUAAAAAAGUCACACUAGAAAUUAUAAACAAAAAUAGAACGUUCACCCUUUAUACCUAAUAAGAAAAUUUCUCAAUAUUCUGUUGAUUUAGAAGUUCAAUAUUAGAAUGUACAUUAAUAUCUUUUUCACAUCUUUGAAUUAGAUUUAGUUGGUUAGAAAGUAAAUUUUGAACAAACGAUUGUAACAAUUUUAUAGAUUUAUUUUAUUCAGUGGUGGUUCAAGGAAUUAUUGCGCCUGUAGGGAUAAAUAUAGUUCAUAUUUGGCUCUUUCUGUAUUUUAAAAUCGAAUAACACGAUGAAACGAUGCAGUCCCCAAUUCCAUUUGUUCGAUGCAUUUUCCUUAGAAUCACUCCCUCUCUUCAGCUACCAGUUUUUCUAAAUCUUAUUUAUUUACAUUUCAUAAAGUCUUCUUAAAAAACCGCCGCCGCCGCCGUCGUCACCACCACCACCACCACUACCAUCACCACACCACCACCACCACCACACCACCACCACCACCACCACCACCACCACCACCACCACCACUACCACCACCAGAACUACCACCAGAACAACAAUACCUAUAACAACAAUGACAAAUGCAGCAAAAAACAAGAAUACCGGCAACCAUAACCACUGAUACAACAACAACAACAACAACAACAACAACAACAACUACUACUACUACUACUACUACUAUACUACAACAACAACAACUACUACUACUACUACCACUAUUAUUAUUAUUAUUAUUAUUAUUAUUAUUAUUAUUAUUAUUAUUAUUAUUAUUAUUGCUACUGCUGCUGCUGAUAAUUUCAAUAAUCAAUGAACUUUUGUUUAGAGUUUUACACUUGUGAUGUUUUUUUUUAUUUUUAAAAAUCAAUGGUCUUCCUUGUAAUAUCAUUUCUAUUAUCAACGAUAUCAAGUGUAACACUGUUUAUUGUACACAUAUCCCUCUUAUGUAAUUUUGUUUAAUUUGUGUAUGAUAUAUUUGUUUUUGGAUCUAUUUUGUACCUCAAUAGUAUUGAAUAUAACAAUGAUGUUUUUGUUUUAACCUUUGGUUUAUAUCAUCAAUGAUAAUCCAUGCAAUACUGCUGUACAGCUCAAGGACUUCCGCUGUAAUCUUAGAAACUAUAUUCAUUGUAUGGCGGUUCAUUUGAUAUCGUUGUGAUUGUUUUGAUUUAUUAAUUAAAAAGAAAUAUGUGUAUAUUGUUACCAAUGGUGUUUCACGAAAUAUUGCUGUCAACAGCAAGUGUCAAAGUAAUUUGCUCUUAUCCACCAAAUGGUGAUUUUUUAAAAAUCGCAUCUCAUGUGAUAUUGUUUUAACGCCAACGGUAUUAUCUUAUGCAACGUUUGGAUAAUAAUAAAUGAAAAAGAAAAACAAACAUUCCUCAUAAAAUUUGCGAAAAACUUUGCAAACAUUCCUAUUUCGAUAAUGAUCUCUUUUUUCAAUGCUUCUAAAGACAACACAUUAUCAUUGCAACGAAUAAUUUCUCUUGAAGACAAAAUACAUUAAAGUUUUAUCAUUGUUUAUACAAGGAUAAAAACGUUCCCGCCAGAAAAAAUACACAAUUACAUGUACACUAAUACAAAUCACAUGAAGUAAAACAAUUAAAAAUUCUUCAGACAUAUAAAAAUAUCAAUAGAAAAUUAAAAUAUCACACAAAAAAAAUUUAAAUAAAUAAAAUGCACAUUCAUUACUAUUAUCAUUGCA